RNAcentral lists this small nuclear RNA (301 nucleotides) under Chinchilla lanigera (long-tailed chinchilla). RNAcentral describes it as "7SK RNA (ENSCLAG00000021510.1)". It matches the Rfam family "7SK RNA", at positions 1 to 283 of the family's 331-position model. From Rfam's summary of the family: 7SK was discovered as an abundant small nuclear RNA in the mid-70s but a possible function has only recently been suggested. Lineage: Eukaryota; Metazoa; Chordata; Mammalia; Rodentia; Chinchillidae. The record is from RNAcentral.
GGAUGUGAGGGAGAUCUGGCUACGACAUCUGCCACCCCACUGAUUGCCAGGAUGGAUUUGGCUGACCUCGCUGGCUAGGCAGAUGUCCCACUCCUCCCUCAAUGCUCCAAGUUCUUCCCUCCUGAAGCUGCGCUCUCAGUCAAGAGGACAACCACCCCUGACAGAGAAGGACCAUUCCUCAGUCAAGAGUGUACAAGUACCUGCACUCCCCUGAUAGAAUCUCCAAACAAGCUCUCAGAAAACACACAAAUUGCAUAAAAACCCCAUUUACAGAAAUAAUGGCAAAAAAUGUUCCAAAUAU